This 491-nucleotide long non-coding RNA is filed under the name Nicotiana tabacum (common tobacco). RNAcentral describes it as "long non-coding RNA (NTAB_LNC006105)". Lineage: Eukaryota; Viridiplantae; Streptophyta; Magnoliopsida; Solanales; Solanaceae. The record is from RNAcentral.
UUUCCCAAUUGAACCAUUCCCCUACUUUCGACCCCCGAUUCCACCUCCUGCUAUUGCAAAUACACAGCCAGUUCCUCCUCCGGGGCCUGGAUCCAGAGGGCACCAUCCCAGAGGUGGAGAUAUGUAUAGACCCCAGAUUACCGAUGCUUAUAUUCGUCCAAAUAUGCCAUUUAGACCUGGUUUUUACUCUGGUCCAGUGGCCUUUGAGGGUUAUUAUGGACCACCAAUGGGUUAUAGCAAUUCCAAUGAGCGGGAAAUUCCUCUCAUGGGCAUGCCUCCUGGUCCCCCAGUUUAUAAUAGAUAUUCAGGCCCAAACACUCCUGAUCCAACUAAUACUCAUGCCAGAAUUGGCAGCCAUGGUGCUAAUGCCAAAGCAUUGCCAGAGGGAGUAGAGUCUGCUCACCCUGAUGAUGCUAAAGGACCAUAUAAAGUUCUUUUAAAGCAUGAUGCAAGAGAGGAAGGAGAGACGUGGGAACAUUCUGCGCCCACUA